This 447-nucleotide ribosomal RNA is filed under the name uncultured bacterium. RNAcentral describes it as "bacterial SSU rRNA". It matches the Rfam family "Bacterial small subunit ribosomal RNA", at positions 329 to 793 of the family's 1533-position model. The record is from RNAcentral.
GCCCAGACUCCUACGGGAGGCAGCAGUGGGGAAUAUUGCACAAUGGGGGGAACCCUGAUGCAGCAACGCCGCGUGGGUGAAGAAGUACUCCGGUAUGUAAAGCCCUGUCAGCAGGGAAGAAAAUGACGGUACCUGACCAAGAAGCCCCGGCUAACUACGUGCCAGCAGCCGCGGUAAUACGUAGGGGGCAAGCGUUAUCCGGAUUUACUGGGUGUAAAGGGGGCGCAGACGGCGAUGCAAGCCAGGAGUGAAAGCCCGGGGCCCAACCCCGGGACUGCAUUGGAAACUGGCAGGCUGGAGUGCCGGAGAGGCAGGCGGAAUUCCUAGUGUAGCGGUGAAAUGCGUAGAUAUUAGGAGGAACACCAGUGGCGAAGGCGGCCUGCUGGACGGUGACUGACGCUGAGGCUCGAAAGCGUGGGGAGCAAACAGGAUUAGAUACCCGCGUAA